GUGAGGAGACACAUGGAUUGUUAUAAAAACUUUUACUAAACAAAAAAAAACACAAUAAAGCCUGACAAAGAUUCAAAAAGGAAACAAACAAAUAAAAACAAAUACAAAUAAUGCUAAACUAUUGCUGAACACAAUGCACAACAAACUGAUACUCAACUUAGGUGAUGAAAAUGCAUAUGGAGAAGCGUGCCAAAGUCAUAACACUUCUAUGUAGGUACACCACGUGUAAAGGGGUAGAGGGCAAGAGAGGCUGAUCAAAAGAGACAGCCACUUAGGUUACAUUUUUAGAAGGUUGGACUACAGUCUUGUUUACACUCACUAGGGUGUGCCAUAGUAACUCUUGAAUGGAAAGUGAACUUCCUGGUGGUUGCUGGCUUAUGAUAUUGAUAUGACCAGUGUCAGAUGUUGAUAUUUUGUCUCUUGCAAGACAAAGGGAAGAUAUUUUGCUCACUAGUGACACAUUUUGGUGGACAUAACCACGGCAUGGUUAUAUUUAAUCUCAACUGCACAUCACUUCACAGAAAUAUGAGCAUACACCUAAGUUUCAAUAGCGUUAUUUUAGAAUAUGGUUUAAUAAAAUUACUUAGAACAUAUAUAUUUUUUAGUUUAUUUUGGUGUGGAGGGCAAUGUGGGUAGAUGUGACAUUAGGGGGGAAAUGAGAAAAAUAAAACAAGAGUUGUGUGAUAUCUGGCCCAGGGUUCAAUUAAUAUUAAAGACAGCCAUGUAAAUGAUUAUAAAUGUAUGAUUUGUAAACAUACAAAUAGUGAUACAAAAAUCAGAUGGUAUCACAAAUCAUUGACUGAAAAUGUAAGCAAAAAGAAUAUUGAAAUGCAAAAAAAAAAAAAAAUCCUCCUCACAUUAACAAAUCAUCAGAGAAACUAGGAAGAUAUUAUAUGGGUGUGUGUAGUCAGUGAUGUGCAUCAUCAGUAUGGAAGUAAUAUAUGUUAAAUUGGGAUUUUUUUUCUUUUUGCAUUUCUCUUUUAAUGUUAAUAACUUACUUUCCAAACACAAAUAGGAGCUACACUUGGGAGCAGUUUAAAAAAGGAGAAUACUUUGUAAAUUAGAAGAAAAAAAAAGUCAUAUUCCUGUCUCUAACCCCUUUGUGAAUUUAUACAUCAGAGUCAAUCUUGCUAAUUUGUAUGCUUAUGAAAGUGUAGACUUAAAAUCCAGCAUCAUAUUAUGGCCUCAAUUUAAUAUUUUUGAAUAAACCUUUAAAAUAUAUUUUAAAUGUUACAAAAUAUCUAAUAUUUUUACAAAUUAUUAAAUCAUUUUAAAAGUUUAUAUAAAAAUAUGAAAUCUAUGACAAAAAUCUUUAUCACACAUGGAAAAUGUAAUUAUACAAGAGAUGAACAUAUGCAUUCGAAAAGGUAUAAAAUAGUAUGCAAAAAUGUUUGCAAUCAAGGCCUCCUUUUAUAAAAAUGUAGAAAAACUGCUGUAGGAAUCUAAUCAUCUAAGCUAGAUUAUAUGGGGUUCUAAUCAGACACUGGAUAAAUGCAUUGUUUUCCCUUUAAAUGUUUAUCAAUAUAAUCUUUAACACUCACAAACACUGGUCAUGUUUCCCACAGCCAAGUUAAACUGAUAACAAUAUGCAAAUCACAUAUGUAAACGGUAAAAAAAGGUUGAAGAAUCAUAUACAUUAGUGAUACAAAAUAAAAUAAUUGAACUUAAUUGCUACAAAGAAGAAAUAGAAAUGAUCAAAUUUAACAAAGUGUAAAAAACAUUUUUAACACACACUAAGAUAGUGCUAACAGGUCAAAUAGACAGAGAAGCCUUUCAUGGAACUAUAGAAUCAUGUAUGUAAAAAAAAUAUAUGUGCAAAGUUUCCUUUACAGAAAAUACAACCACAAAUAUUAUAAGGGUUAUAAGGGUUAAAUCAUCUCAAGUGUUUCAGCAUAGGUUGCCUGACUUUGUAAUUUUCCUAAUUGGUUUUCCUUGGUUCAGUAAAAAAAGUCUCAAACUUGAAAUGGACGGCAUGCACACUAUAUUUACCUCCAUACCCCUUAAAAAAAACUAAAGAACUGAGAAUUGAACCUUUCCAAUUAUAAACUGACCCUAAAAGUGAAACGAUCAGUGAUGUUGAGCUUGUGUUGGUGGUGCAUGUGUAGAGUUUUAGUUUGUGGUAUUAUAUGCCUGGCUAGGAGCUGUAGAGUGCUUGUGUAUACUGUUCUUAGUGUGUACAGGGGGCAUACUAUGUGUGUAUAGGUGUUGCUGCGAGUGUGUGCACAGACGCUAUAUGUAGGUGGUGCAGUGUGUGUCUAAGGGCAAUCUAGUGUGUGUAGGAGAUCCAGAGUGUGUAUGUAGUGCAGUGUGUGUAUAAUGGAUGUAGUGUGUGUGUGUGAGUGUGCAAAGGAUGCAGUGUGUGUGAGGGUGCUGUGUGUGCAAGGGUUUUGCAUUUAUUUGUGUGUGUGUAUAAGGGGUGAACAGGGUCUAUGUUUUGUGUGGGUGGGUUAAAAUGUGGGAAAAUGUGUUUAAAAAAAAUAUAUACAAAUGAUUCAAAAAAAAGUCUUAUGUUCCCCUACCUUGCACUGCCUGGUGGUCCAGUGAUGGCAAAGAACUUUAGACUUUAGUCUGUAGCUCCUCUUCUCGAGAGCUCAGCACUGUCGGUGCAUUGAAAAAGUAACGCACGGCAACGCUCCAGACUGCCUCCCGGGUUCCUACCACUCCUCAAAAGUAAGUGCCAGUGGGCCGAUCCCAGAGGGCCCACAGCAAGGCUGGCUCUGCAUGGGAGAUGAAAGGAUCUUCCUUGUCGGCCUUGGCCUAUGGCCACUGAGGCCCACUGGACAUUUGCCUUAUGGCUGUUCCAGGCCUGAUUAGGACUCAAGUUCUAACUCUAAGGAACAAGAAUGUGCAAAAUGUUUAAAUAUGUACAUUUACCCAGUACAGUGCUCUAGAGAUCAGUUUUUGUUCCAAGGACCUGGGACCAUCCUGAGCGGAAAUUUUGAAGUUUCAAUAAACACCUGUAUAAGUCAAUGCUGUUGUGCACCAUAACAGAAAGAUGGCAUCUAUGGUUUAUCCAAGUAUAAUAAAAAUAAAAAACUUGUGGUUUUGCAAUACCAAUAUAUAGAGGUAAAUUAAAAAAAAA
This 3082-nucleotide long non-coding RNA is filed under the name Pelobates cultripes (western spadefoot toad). The record is from RNAcentral. Lineage: Eukaryota; Metazoa; Chordata; Amphibia; Anura; Pelobatidae.